AUGAGUCAAUGUGAUGAAGGAGGAAGAAUGAGACUUUGGAAUCAGAGGACUUGGGUUCAAAUUCUGGCUUUGGCAAUCUCCAAUAGGAUUUUAGGACCAGACUGGCUCAGGGAGAAGAGGAGGGUCACCAGAAGUUGGAAUACACUGAACGGGUUCCAGAAACUUGGAGACUGAACACUGGACAGUCAGGGACUUCAUUUUCCAGGGGAGGGAAUGGUCACAGGGAGGAAAUCUGGCCUCCCUGAUGUGCUGAAAGAAAUGGUUCUAUUCUUUUUCUUAUCUAUGUAAACCAAAAGGGAAAAAAGUGACAUAAAUUUAUGGAAUCUGAUGCAUUUGAGCUGUUUGUAGAGAUAAAUUAAGACAAAAAAAAUCCCUGAAGGAUGUGUGUCCCCAUGAGUCCCUGUUAUCUCAGGGGAACCCUCUGAAUUACACUGUCUAGGGAGCUGACCUACCCUCAUUCUCCAUUUUUUACCCUUAGGGACAUAAAUGCUUUUUUUUUUUUAACUUAUGAGACUAUUAGCUGAAUGAUUUAAUUUCUUAACUUCUCCCUUAUUGUCUUAGACUUUUCCGGCACUAUAUCUCUUUCUGUUUCCCUCCUGUUUCUAUUUCUCUCUUUUCCCAUCUUUCUGGUUUUGCCUUUGUCUUUGACUUUCCUACUCUUUCUGACCCUGUCCAUUUCUGUCUCUUUGUUCCAUCUCUCCCCCUCUCUCUGUCUCCUCAAAGUACAUAAGCAUGAUUCCCUAUAAAGAAUCAAUAUAAUGAACCCCAUUUCCCUCACAAAUUGUUUUCCUUUUCUCUUUCCUUUCCCCCCAGUAACAAGGGAUUACUCUGAAGAGAAGAAAUGUCUUUCUUCACCAUAACUAUGUAUCUCAGGCAAAAACAUUUUUUUCCUUUUUUAAAAAUUUAUUCAUUUAAAAAAAUAUUUUUCCAUGAUUCAUUUUCUUCCUCUCCCCUCUUCCCUUCCUCCCCCACCCCCAACUGACAAGCAAUUCCACUGGGUUGUACAAAUGUUGUCACUUGAUAUCUAUUUCUAUAUUAUUCAUUUUUGCUAUAGAGCAAUUUGUUUAAGAUCUACACCUCAAAUCACAUACCUAUAUAUA
RNAcentral lists this long non-coding RNA (1100 nucleotides) under Monodelphis domestica (gray short-tailed opossum). RNAcentral describes it as "lncRNA (ENSMODG00000045511.1)". The record is from RNAcentral. Lineage: Eukaryota; Metazoa; Chordata; Mammalia; Didelphimorphia; Didelphidae.